RNAcentral lists this ribosomal RNA (865 nucleotides) under uncultured bacterium. RNAcentral describes it as "bacterial SSU rRNA". It matches the Rfam family "Bacterial small subunit ribosomal RNA", at positions 119 to 993 of the family's 1533-position model. The record is from RNAcentral.
AUCGAACCUGCCCCUGUCAGGGAAUAGCCCAUGGAAACGUGGAUUAAUGCCCCAUGGCACCCUUGUACCGCAUGUACGGGGGUUAAAGAUUUAUCGGACAGGGAUGGCGAUGCGUGCCAUUAGCUGGUUGGUAAGGUAACGGCUUACCAAGGCAACGAUGGCUAGGGGCCCUGAGAGGGGGAUCCCCCACACUGGUACUGAGACACGGACCAGACUCCUACGGGAGGCAGCAGUGAGGAAUAUUGGACAAUGGUGGGAACACUGAUCCAGCCAUGCCGCGUGCAGGAUGACUGCCCUAUGGGUUGUAAACUGCUUUUAUACGGGAAGAAACCCAGGUACGUGUACCUGGCUGACGGUACCGUAAGAAUAAGGACCGGCUAACUCCGUGCCAGCAGCCGCGGUAAUACGGAGGGUCCGAGCGUUAUCCGGAAUCAUUGGGUUUAAAGGGCCCGUAGCGGGCGAUAAGUCAGAGGUGAAAGGCCACGGCUCAACCGUGGACUGCCUUUGAUACUGUCGGUCUUGAGUCAUGGUGGGGUUGCCGGAACAUGUGGUGUAGCGGUGAAAUGCAUAGAUAUCACAUAGAACACCGAUCGCGAAGCAGGUGGCCAACCAUGGACUGACGCUGAUGGACGAAAGCGUGGGUAGCGAACGGGAUUAGAUACCCCGGUAGUCCACGCCGUAAACGAUGGACACUAGCUGUGGGGCCUUUGGCUCCGUGGCCAAGCGAAAGUGAUAAGUGUCCCACCUGGGGAGUACGUUCGCAAGAAUGAAACUCAAAGGAAUUGACGGGGGCCCGCACAAGCGUGGAGCAUGUGGUUUAAUUCGAUGAUACGCGAGGAACCUUACCAGGGCUUAAAUGCAGUCU